RNAcentral lists this ribosomal RNA (1295 nucleotides) under Aplysina fulva (scattered pore rope sponge). RNAcentral describes it as "SSU rRNA". It matches the Rfam family "Bacterial small subunit ribosomal RNA". Lineage: Eukaryota; Metazoa; Porifera; Demospongiae; Verongiida; Aplysinidae. The record is from RNAcentral.
AUUCCCUUGAUUUUGGGGAAAAUAAAAAGCGUGCGGUACUUAUCAUACAUGCUAAGGAUAGAAUUUAUUGAAUGAUAUAUUCAUUGGGGAAUUUUGAAUUGUAUAUUCGAUGUUGUCCUGGACAGGUGAGUAAUAUUCUGGAACUAACCGAGCCCUCGCGGGGGUUUGAUAGGCCGGAAUCGUAUUAGGUUGAAGGAGAAAUAAUAACCUCCUUGCCGAAAAUGCGUAGCCGAAAGGCCACACUUUCACUGAAAUAAGGGGAAGACUCAUAAAGAGGCAGCAGUAGAGAAUCUUGUGCAAUAUAUGAAAGUAUGACACAGAGAUAUCGCAUAUAUGGGCUGUCUAAUAUACGUGCCAGCAGAUGCGGUUAUACGUAAGGCCUAAGUUUUUAUUGUAAAACAGGUGUAAAGGGUGUGUAGGUGAUUAAUAAUUUAGAGUUAAAAAAAAGUAGAUAGAACUUUUAUGUANCGGUAGAAUGUUUUAAUAUAAAAUGGAAUACCAAAGGCGAAAGUAGUCUACUAGCUUUAACUGACACUGAGACACGAAAGCAUGGGGAGCUAAUAGGAUUAGAUACCCUAGUCGUCCAUGCUGUAAACGAUGAAUAUUAGAUAUAUAGAAAAUGUGUCUUGAAAAACUUCCAAAUUCCACCUGAAGAGUACGAUUGCAAGAUUAAAAUUCAAAAAAUUUGGCGGUUCACUAUUCCAAUUAGAGGAGCGUGUAGUUUAAUUCGAUGUUACACGAGAAACCUUACCAAAACUCGAACCCUAACCGGAGAAUAAAGAUUAAAAUAAAUCCAAGUUAGGCCAGGUAUUGCAUGGCCGUCGUCAGUUCGUGUUGUGAGAGAAAUAAAACGGACUUAACCCUUUAAUGUAAGUCGGUAUAUUAUUAAUAAUUAAAUUUAAAGGACGACGUCAGGCCCUUAUGAUCUCUAUGUUUUGGGCAGCGUAUGCGCUACAGUGUUUUAGAUAAAGGGGGGGAUAAAAAGGAAAUAAAACUUUAAAAUAUUACUCGAAAAGAAAAUUGAAAUAAUUUCUUGAAGUUGGAUUUAAUAGUAAUCGAAAAGUAGAGCGUUUCGGUGAAUAUGGCCCUAGUGUUCGUACAAAUCGCCCGUCAACUCUGCCUAGUAAAAAAGCUCAAAGUAUAAAAAGAAGCUAUAAUCUAAUAGCCCGUAUAAUAAAAUAAAUUAUCGGCACUUGGAAAGUCAUUAUUUUAGUCGGAUUUAAUAUUACAGUAAUUUUAUAAGGCUGAGUAAGUCGUAACACAGCGAGGGUAUUGGAAGAUGUCCUCGGACUUAU